This 447-nucleotide ribosomal RNA is filed under the name uncultured bacterium. RNAcentral's name for it is "bacterial SSU rRNA". It matches the Rfam family "Bacterial small subunit ribosomal RNA", at positions 355 to 825 of the family's 1533-position model. The record is from RNAcentral.
UGGGGAAUCUUGGACAAUGGGCGCAAGCCUGAUCCAGCCAUGCCGCGUGGAUGAUGAAGGCCUUAGGGUUGUAAAAUCCUUUCGCCGAGGACGAUAAUGACGGUACUCGGAGAAGAAGCUCCGGCUAACUUCGUGCCAGCAGCCGCGGUAAUACGAAGGGGGCUAGCGUUGUUCGGAUUCACUGGGCGUAAAGGGUGCGCAGGCGGUUAAUUGUGUCAGGUGUGAAAUCCCGGAGCUCAACUCCGGAACUGCGCCUGAAACUGAUUGACUAGAGGCUCGGAAAGGUAAGCGGAAUUCCAGGUGUAGCGGUGAAAUGCGUAGAUAUCUGGAGGAACACCAAAGGCGAAGGCAGCUUACUAGACGAGAUCUGACGCUCAGGCACGAAAGCGUGGGUAGCGAACAGGAUUAGAUACCCACGUAGUCCCUGAGCGGGCUGGCAAGGCGCAU